CACCGUGAGAGACAGAACCAAAUGGUUCCUAUUAUGCUAUGGACCUUGAGGCUGGAGAGAGAAAGCAGGGGGAGAUUAGGGUAGAAAAGGACAAAGUACCAAGUUAUAGUGAGGAAAACUGUCUCCAAUCCACCUAGUCUGAGCAGAGGCACCUGGGAAAGCCCUCAGCCAAACCCUCAGGUAGAGAGACCUCCAACUGAGAACACCUGGCUGAGAAUACAUCUAAAUAUAAGAGCAUGGCUUGCCAGCAGGGCCUGAGCCCUUGCCUGUAACUUUUUUCAGAAACUGCAAUUCAUUGUCUCUGCAUCAAGUGGAAAAGUCUGCUUUCCUCGGAGACCUGCCAGGAUCAGGAAUGCAUCUCUGUCUCCAGGAAUCAAGAGCAUUUCACAGGCAGUUCACAAAAGAAAAGUAUAGAUCUUACUCUAUCCAUGAUGGAAUUGCAUAUCAAAAGACCCAUUAUAAGUACCUUUUUGCAUGAAAAGAAUUCCUACAAUCAAUUCUAAAAGGAUGAAUGCAUCACAGAGAUAAAUGCACAAGAGCACAAGCAAUUUGAAAACCAUGAAAAUGAUAUUCCAAGAGCUUUUUCACUUUUUUCUUGUCAUAUAAAAAAUGUAUAAUAUCAUAAACAAAGUAUGCUUUUUGACAGCUGUGGACAUUUUGCUGAGUGGCAAUACUGCCCAAGAUGCCCCCAGCUCACCUGUUUCCCCAAAUGCCUUCCUCAUUAGAGAAUUUUCCACUUCUGCUCAAGAUGAAACAAGAGGACAGCUCCCCUGUUCCCCAUUAUCUAACUACCAGUUUUUUAUUACUGUUGUUGUAGUAAGAACACUUAGCAUGAGAUCUACCCUCUUGACAAA
Molecule: long non-coding RNA, 854 nt
Organism: Bubalus bubalis (water buffalo)
Lineage: Eukaryota; Metazoa; Chordata; Mammalia; Artiodactyla; Bovidae
Exons: 3
Source: RefSeq, a predicted model, not a curated record